This is a small nuclear RNA of Rattus norvegicus (Norway rat), 68 nucleotides long. Ensembl annotates it as U7 small nuclear RNA. Lineage: Eukaryota; Metazoa; Chordata; Mammalia; Rodentia; Muridae. The record is from Ensembl.
AGGUGAACACAGCUCUUUUAGAAUUUUUUUUUCUAACAGGAUUUCUGAUUAGGGUCAGAAAAUCCACA